Long non-coding RNA from Aquila chrysaetos chrysaetos, 3113 nucleotides. RefSeq lists it as uncharacterized. Lineage: Eukaryota; Metazoa; Chordata; Aves; Accipitriformes; Accipitridae. The record is from RefSeq and is a predicted model, not a curated record. The transcript has 6 exons.
UAGUGAUUUAAAAGUGAACUUCAGCAUUUUUAGUACGAAACAUUUACAUUUUCCCUCAUUUGCUUUCAGGAGUUUCACAGAGCUUUGUACUGCUCUCACACAGAAUUGUCUUACAAAUUCUGCAAUGUUCUUUAUUUGCUUCUUGUAUUUAAGACGGUUGGGCUGGAAACACCGAGGAGCUCUGGUGAGCUCUCCAUAACUGACAUGAGGGUAAGUGCACGUCUCCCACUGGCUUUCAAAGGGUUACUCACAAAGAGUUUACAUGUCUUGACUGUCAAGUCUCUGUCUCCAUGCAUUUCCCACUCCUCCUGUCUCUUGUGUCUAAGGUUUUCUGCUUUCAGUCUUUGUCUCCCAGGGUCGAACUCCACCGAAGCCUCUAUUAAACAUCCUCACUGUGAUGCCUCUCAGUGCGAUGCACGAAUGCCCACCUUCUCUGCGAGGAGGAGGAGGAAGAUUAGAAGGCUAAAGUGUUUAACCUGCCUGUCAAACAAAAUUAUUCAUGGCAGAAAUGAGUCACAAAAAUCUUGAUGCAAACUCUGUAAGUCAAAGAGAGUCUGUCCAUUGACUUAUUGGAUCAAGCAUUUGAAGUACAGAAACAAAAGAGAUUGAGACACCUGGCUGAGCUGAAGAGAUCCCAUUUGCAAUAGCCAUCUAUGAGAGGCAGCAGAAGGCUGUGGUGGCUGGACAGAUCUAGCCAUGAAAUUAGGAUAAAUAAAAGAUUUUGCCACUGUGUCAUCCUCCAGUUGAUCCUAACCUGUGCUUGAAAUGAACUUUUGAUGUGACACAUUCAUCUCAGCAGCACUCAUGGCUUCAUCUUUCUGUUCGUCUCACCUACAGAUGACAAUUCUCUUUGCUUCCCUUAAGAACCUGCUUCCUAGGCUUAAGUGAAGAGCAGCUUCCACUGAAGGUGUGUAUAGAAGCUGGGGGCUGUUUCACACCUAUGAACAUGACGAACAUUGCAGUGAGGACUAUACGUGUUCUGGUGUUCAAACCCAAAGUAGGAAACAACUACUCAGGGAAAGUGAAGGAAGUCCCUGAAUUCUUGAUGUCCACCAAAGCUUUGGUUAAUGUGUAUGCUGAGUCUUCAUGGUAUGAGUAGAAAUUAGGGAGAAUAGAUACGAAAGCAUUUUAAAGCUGUAGAAACUGUUUAUGAGAAUAAAACCCUGAUCACGAAUCUCAGAUGCAAAAAAAAAAAAUUAAAUGCAAGAACUUUGAAAGCAUAUCCUUGGCUGUCCAAAUACCAAUUCCAGGCUGAUCUGCAGGAAAGGCCCCUGUAAUUCAUUAACUCAUCAACUCAUCACAAUUUAAUGAAGAACUGUGUGUUCUGGCUACCUCCAUCACUCUGCCACCCGGGUCUGAACAAACUCACUGUCUUCCUGAAGACACACAAACAUGAACCCUGCUAAGCUCUGCUUUCAGGGCAGCAGGGACUUCCUUCCAGGCAUCUUAUUUUAAGAUGUGAAGAAUAUUUGGGGAUUAAAUGGAUACCAUAUUAAUGAUAUAUCUCUUUCUCUCUCUCUCUCAAUCUGUCAUGGUGAUAUCAUGCCUCUCCAUCCUCUGACCUUAGAAAGACACUCAUUUAUGGGACUGCCUAAUGCUCAGCCAUCCUUCAGGAUGUUCAGAGAUGCAGAUUCACUCCCUCCACCAGGCACCUAUUGAAUCUGUUCAGGCCGUGCCUAUUAAAAAACUGGACUCUGCAGCCAAGAGAACAGUGAGAGAUGGAUGGUGCUGGCGUGCAUCCACUUCAGAGGACAGAGGCAGAUCAGCCUGCCAUGGACAGAGACAGACUAAUGAAACCUGCAGGACUGGCAUGCAAUUACCUUGUUUGCCAAACUCAUUAUAGAGAAGUCGCAUAUUUCCAGUAUGCUGCCCCUGGCCUCAGAGACAAAGCUGCCAGCUGGAUUAUGAAUAGUUCUGGUCCAUAUUCAGGUAGGGCUGGAGCAGGUGUAGUUUUGAUGAAGUUGGUUUGCUUGGCCCAGCUGAGACCAGGGUCUGGUCCCUCACAUUGUCGCUCCAUCCCCAGGAUCACUCAGGGUGGCCUCAGGACCACUGAGUUACACAAGAGCACAUUGACCCUUGAUGUGCUGCUCCAAAGCCUCUUAGAGCAACACACUGCAGUAGCGUCAUCACCCCUGUGCACAUGCCUCAUAGUUUGAACCUUGCUGAUUCUCAAAAAACACAAUGUACAAGUGUGGGAGCCUGAGCCAAAUCUGGUCUUACAAUGUUAGCUGAAAACCAGCAAAAUCCUUAGCAUGAAAAAAACCCUUCUGUCUCAACAAAGAAAUGCAGUGGUAUUUUGAUUACUUGGGGAAAUGCCUGUAUUUCAGAUAGCAGAUACUAUUUUGGCCUUGGCACGUUGGUCAAAGUCCCGUUACAAUUUCUCAGAGAGGUGCUGGGCCGUGGCUUAAGGCAGAAUCCAGGUAAAAAAACCCUUUGUAAGAACUGACAUAAAGAGCUGUAAUAAAGGAACUGUUGGUAGUGCCAAACAGUAAGUUUCCAAGCCCCAGGACCAUGGAUGGCUUCAUCUUCCUGAGUGCCAUCUACUGGCAUUUACCCAUUAACUCCUUACCCACAAGUGUGCAGGUCCUUGUCCCCUGGUGUCCCCUCAGCAGCUCCAGCUGCUCACAGCAGCCUCUGGCCAGGUUGCCUCCACGGUGGUGUGGGCUCGCCUACCCUGACCCACCGCCCUUUGGUGGGUGGGACGCAGGAUUUAAGGUGAGCAUCGCAGCCUGGCUCUGGCGAGGGGAAUGCAGCUCUGAAGGUGAUGUGCAUGGACUUGUCUUAUUAGCAGCAGCCUUGGGAUUGCCAUUGCUGAGAUGGUCCCAGCCACUGCUCGUUCACAGGCUCCAGACAGCAGCCUGGAGCCUGAGCAAGCAGCCUGGGGAGCUGUAUCGGAGACAGCAAAAUGCACUGAGACAUGUAUUAUGGCCAUGAAGGCUUGUUUGUUGGACUUGCCCCCGUGAUGGGCUGUUAUGGGAAAUGACACAUUGAUGUUGAAAGCCUUAAAUGUUCCUUGGGCAUAUUGACAAAAACUGCAUGCUUCUCCUUAGGCUGCUGAAGCAACAGGGAAGAUAACAUUUCCUUUCAGCUAAUAAAACCCGAUUUUAGUUGUU